RNAcentral lists this unclassified non-coding RNA (138 nucleotides) under uncultured fungus. RNAcentral's name for it is "sequence contains ITS1". The record is from RNAcentral. Lineage: Eukaryota; Fungi.
CAAAUCUGAACACACACGAUGUGAGAAUAGUAGUACUAUUCCUAGUCAUAUUCUCACCAUCGACAAAACAUUACCUAUUGACACUUGUAUACAUGACAAAUAACCAAAGAAUACCUUUUAACAAUGGAUCUCUUGGCU